CUGGAGAAGGGAGUGGCUAUGCACCCCAGUAUUCUUGCCUGGAGAAUCCUAUGGACAGAGGACCUGGCGGGCUGUAGGUGGGCUGCAGAGUCGAACAUGCCUGAGCACACACAGAGCUCCUAUACGACCUGGCUCCUCUUCAAAGCUGUCCCUCAGGGCCAUCUGAGAGGCUGUCUUCCCAGCUUAUGGUUCUCAAUUUUUAGGUUGUGUUUUUCUUUUUCAGUCCAGAGGUUCACAGAGUCACCUUUGAGGCCAGACUCAGCCACCUUUCCCUAACUUCGGGGCUGCCUGGAGGAACGUGGAACCCAACAGAGGUGCUAGAGAAACAGAAGGAGGAACUAAGAGUGAAUGGCACUCAUCCCCUGAGAGCAGAGCAAAGCAAAGCAAAGUAAGAAGGACAACUCGCCAUGUCCCCAGCCACUUCCUCUGACACACGGUUUGGAAACCCUGACGACCCCCCUGGAGAAAAGUCUGAUGCAGUCAGUUGCAAGAGCUGGGUCAGCCCCUAGGUCUUACUGAACUCAGUACAUCAAGAGCACUGUCCCUAUGGAACAAAUCCUGGGCUUCAGAGAGGUUAGGGAUUGGCCAGUCUGGUGGGGGUCCACUGGCCUAGGCUCCAGGCCCUGUGUCUCUCAUUCUGCUUGAUCAGCAGGCUCCCAGGGGCAGGUUCUUCUCACCAUGAAGACCACAAUACAAGAAGGCAAGACCUCCUGCACAAGUACGUGCCAAGACUUUGCUCAUGUUUCUGUUAAAAUUCCACUAGCCAAAGGAAGUAACACGGCUAAGCCAAAUAAUCACAGCCCCUCAUUCACCCAGCUCUGGAAAUGAAGAACUCACCUCUUUAUUUAUCACUGCAAGAGAUUCAGGGGCAGCUUCAAUUGGGGGUCGAGUGACGUGGAGCCUCUGUCUGCUUGAAUGGCCCCCUCCAGAGCUUCCACUGCACAGGAGAAACAAAUCUCAAGUGUGUAACCACCAAUUCCAGUGAACUGUUGUAUUUUGCCUCUUCAGCUCCCCUCAAGGUAGAACCCCGAGGGGACAAUUACAAACAUCGGGCCAAGAGAUAGAACACAGGGCACUUCUUUUUCUGCCGCAGGAGAAGUCAAUUAGGGUUUCAAUUUCCACUGUUAAAUGUCACCUUUUUACAACAUCCUGGAGGAGAGCCGGCAGCCCUGUCCUUAGGGGGGCGAAAAAAACUCUUUCAAGGAAAGGCUUAUUGUCUGAAAAGACACAGAAGGGUCCAAAGAUUAAAGGGCCCACUCAGGCUCUCCGGAUUUCCCGGAGCUCUUGGUUUCUAUUUCCAGCUGAACAUCUGGCUCCCUGGUAGCCCCCAGUGAGUCUUUUGAGCCUCCCUGCCUCACUUUUCUACCGGUUGCAAAAAGAGAUGAUAAACCAGGCUGCCACACAAUGCAUAUAAAGUGCCCCCAAGGAGUGAGGAAGGGAGGCAGACUUCUCGAAGGAGAGAGCUGUCAGCAUGUUUUCUCCUGAUCUUCAGGUAUCUCCAGUGUCUGGAACCCCUCAUUAGAGCAUGUGGUCCUUCCCCUGAGAAGUCAGAUGAGAGACAGAAUCAAUGGAGCCAAGAAACUCCCUUCUCUUGUCUCUGCUGCAAGGCAGAUGAGUCAAACUGCAUGAUGGCCGGUCAGUCUUCUUCACUCACUAACACUCUGUGCCCUAUUUUCAAAAGGAGGAGCAUGUUGUUGGCAUGGCUGAAAGAUUAAACACUCCCACUCCAUCGCUACAGCCACUAGUGGGUAUUUUAUCACAAUUUCUGUGCAGGAACUUUCUGUCCACAAAAACCCUUCCUCCACCCAGAUGGGUGAGACUGAGAGUAUCUCCAGUUUCUAAAGUUAGGUCAUAAAUCGCUCUCCUGCUUGCAGGGUGGUGUUGCCCCUGAAAAGAUCCCAUCUGUUCAUGGUCUGCAACUUAUUUUGAAAUGCAUUCAAAAAUCAAGAAGGGCUCGUGCACUUUUAAAUUUUUUUUAAUUAUUUAAAACUUUUUUUCUGUUUUCAAUUAUAGGGGAACUCAU
Odocoileus virginianus texanus is the source of this 2023-nucleotide non-coding RNA. Lineage: Eukaryota; Metazoa; Chordata; Mammalia; Artiodactyla; Cervidae. The record is from RefSeq and is a predicted model, not a curated record.